This 232-nucleotide ribosomal RNA is filed under the name uncultured bacterium. RNAcentral's name for it is "partial 16S ribosomal RNA". It matches the Rfam family "Bacterial small subunit ribosomal RNA", at positions 118 to 350 of the family's 1533-position model. The record is from RNAcentral.
UGGGCAACCUGCCCCUCUCUCUGGGAUAACCCCGGGAAACCGGAGCUAAUACCGGAUACUCCGGCUGGAUCGCAUGGUCCGGCCGGGAAAGGUCCGCCGGAGAGGGAUGGGCCCGCGGCCUAUCAGCUUGUUGGUGAGGUAACGGCUCACCAAGGUGACGACGGGUAGCUGGUCUGAGAGGGCGAUCGGCCACACUGGGACUGAGACACGGCCCAGACUCCUACGGGAGGCA